CGGUAUUUUGACCGUGCGAAGGUAGCGCAAUCACUUGUCUUUUAAAUGAAGACCCGUAUGAAUGGCAUAACGAGGGCUUAACUGUCUCCUCUUUCAGGUCAAUGAAAUUGAUCUUCCCGUGCAGAAGCGGGUAUACAAACAUAAGACGAGAAGACCCUAUGGAGCUUUAGACACCAAGGCGGCCCACAUUAAACACCCCCGAAUAAGGGACUAAACCACAGUGAACACCGCCCUAAUGUCUUUGGUUGGGGCGACCGCGGGGAAUUACAAAACCCCCACGUGGAAUGGGGGCACCCCUCCUACAGCUAAGAGCUACAGCUCUAGUAAACAGAAAUUCUGACCAAUAAGAUCCGGCAAUGCCGAUCAACGGACCGAGUUACCCUAGGGAUAACAGCGCAAUCCUCUUUUAGAGCCCAUAUCGACAAGAGGGUUUACGACCUCGAUGUUGGAUCAGGACAUCCUAAU
This 465-nucleotide ribosomal RNA is filed under the name Pleurogrammus monopterygius (Atka mackerel). RNAcentral's name for it is "partial 16S ribosomal RNA". It matches the Rfam family "Bacterial large subunit ribosomal RNA", at positions 1934 to 2551 of the family's 2925-position model. The record is from RNAcentral. Lineage: Eukaryota; Metazoa; Chordata; Actinopteri; Perciformes; Hexagrammidae.